Molecule: long non-coding RNA, 540 nt
Organism: Gasterosteus aculeatus aculeatus (three-spined stickleback)
Lineage: Eukaryota; Metazoa; Chordata; Actinopteri; Perciformes; Gasterosteidae
Source: Ensembl
UGCUGAUCGGGUGAGAAGCAAAGCUGGAGUUUUUUUUUUUUAAUAAAUUUGCGAGAAAAAAGAAAAAACCUGCUGGAAGUUACGGCCACAAAGGAUCAUGUGCACUGCAUCCUCUUAUUGCACUGGGCCUUCAACAAAGACGUCCAGCGGGAGCUCCGGCAAAUUACACAAGAUUUGGUUUUUGAUCAGCAAAUCUUCAGAAGGGGGCUUCUUCAAAGAAAUAACUUCCCACGUCUCUUCUGAGGCCCGAACAAAAACUCCUCCUAAGUGAAUGGCUUCUGCUCACAGCUUGUGGCCGCAGCUGGCAGCAUUGUUGGCCACUCUCGUCCUCCGACGGACGGGGCGAGGAUGAAGGGCGGCGGAGGUGGUCGACGCAACAGCGCACCGCCGCAAACCACAGUGUGCCGUCGUCCGCUGCUGAUUGACGGAAGCCACUGAGUGACGCGUUGCAGACACCGGACGGCCUCCCUCAGAUGGGCUGCUCAGGCCCGACUUGUCCGUUGCUUCUAUUUGAUCAGCCUCAUAGUCUGUGGAGUGUUG